Long non-coding RNA from Thalassophryne amazonica, 234 nucleotides. RefSeq lists it as uncharacterized. The transcript is spliced from 4 exons. The record is from RefSeq and is a predicted model, not a curated record. Lineage: Eukaryota; Metazoa; Chordata; Actinopteri; Batrachoidiformes; Batrachoididae.
CUUCAAAAAAAAAUCAUCUGCGCUGCAACACGGUGUGUGGAAUUGGCAAACUAGCACCCCCUCCUGCUGUACAGGUGCCUUUGCUCGCUGAAAAGGACAACACACAAGCAAUGUGAGAAAGGGAAGGGGCCCAUGGGGGACAGUUCACCUCUGGGUUUCUCUAAUGGAAGGGGUGGGUGGGGGUUAGUGGGCUAAAGUCAGUUACACCUCAACUUUCUUCCAAAUAACGCACAU